AAAAAAGAGAACAUUGUUGUUAGUAACACGCAGAAGAACAACCGCUCCUCAAAAGUCUUUCGGUCGGCGCCGCUUCAUGGUUAGUAAUCAGUUCCAGGUUCAAUUGUUCUCACUCCCCGCUCACAGUACUCUUCCAGACUGGUUAGACGAAUAAGUGCAUAUAGUGUUGGUUGAUUGAAAGUUGAUUGUUAGAGGAAGGGAGUAACAACAAGAAAGAAUCAUUUGAGUUUAGGACUGGUUGUUGCAGCUCUCACUUGGACUGCCCUAUUGGUUUUGGUUUUUUCUGUAGUGCCUCAUGGACUUAGUUGUUCCAUUGUAUGUUUCUAACCCAUGUAGCACUUCUUGUGCUUGUGGGCUUUAUUAAUAAAUCUUUAGCUUCUAAAAAAAAAAAAACCCUUUGAACCCUUCUAAUUCCCAAAGGUCAAAGCUCAAUCAAUCUAUGUUUUGGCAUAGAGAAUCCUUAUAGCAUAUAUUGUGUCAAAUUUAGGCCACUAAUUUAGUAUCUUGCCCUUUUUGGA
Long non-coding RNA from Trifolium pratense (red clover), 518 nucleotides. RefSeq lists it as uncharacterized. Lineage: Eukaryota; Viridiplantae; Streptophyta; Magnoliopsida; Fabales; Fabaceae. The transcript has 3 exons. The record is from RefSeq and is a predicted model, not a curated record.